RNAcentral lists this small RNA (28 nucleotides) under Bombyx mori (domestic silkworm). RNAcentral's name for it is "ovarian small RNA-27298". The record is from RNAcentral. Lineage: Eukaryota; Metazoa; Arthropoda; Insecta; Lepidoptera; Bombycidae.
UCCCGCCUUGUAGUCGCAGGGUCGCACG